This 501-nucleotide ribosomal RNA is filed under the name uncultured bacterium. RNAcentral describes it as "partial 16S ribosomal RNA". It matches the Rfam family "Bacterial small subunit ribosomal RNA", at positions 29 to 523 of the family's 1533-position model. The record is from RNAcentral.
AUUGAACGCUGGCGGCAUGCCUUACACAUGCGAGUCGAACGGCAGCACGGGUGCUUGCACCUGGUGGCGAGUGGCGAACGGGUGAGUAAUACAUCGGAACGUACCUUAUCGUGGGGGAUAACGCAGCGAAAGCUGUGCUAAUACCGCAUACGCCCUGAGGGGGAAAGCGGGGGAUCGAAAGACCUCGCGCGAUUAGAGCGGCCGAUGCCUGAUUAGCUUGUUGGUGGGGUAAAAGCCCACCAAGGCGACGAUCAGUAGCUGGUCUGAGGGGACGAUCAGCCACACUGGGACUGAGACACGGCCCAGACUCCUACGGGAGGCAGCAGUGGGGAAUUUUGGACAAUGGGGGCAACCCUGAUCCAGCAAUGCCGCGUGAGUGAAGAAGGCCUUCGGGUUGUAAAGCUCUUUUGUCAGGGAAGAAACACCGGCUCUAACACAGUCCGGGAAUGACGGUACCUGAAGAAUAAGCACCGGCUAACUACGUGCCAGCAGCCGCGGUAA